Candidatus Kuenenbacteria bacterium is the source of this 1778-nucleotide non-coding RNA. Lineage: Bacteria; Candidatus Kueneniibacteriota. The record is from Rfam.
UUUACUAAGAGUUUGAUCCUGGCUCAGGAUGAACGCUGGCGGCGUGUUUGAGGCAUGCAAGUCGAAUGUGUUCUAAUUUAUUUUAGGAUGCAUGGCGAACGGGUGAGUAACACAUUGGUAACCUACCUCUGUCACGGGCAUAAUUCCGCGAAAGCGGAGCUAAUACCCGAUAGUUUCCGAUCUCACAAGAGCAUCGGAAUAAAGUUCCGGCAGACAGAGAGGGGCCUAUGUCUGAUUAGCUUGUUGGUGAGGUAAUGGCCCACCAAGGCGAUGAUCAGUAGCGGGGAUGGAAGUCUGACCCGCCUCACUGGGACUGAGACACUGCCCAGACUCCUACGGGAGGCUGCAGUCGAGAAUAUUCCUCAAUGCCCGCAAGGGUGAAGGAGCGACGCCGCGUGCAGGAAGACGCCCCUCGGGGUGUAAACUGCUUUUAUAAGGGAAGAAUCCCUCACCUUUUAGCUUUUGUUGUAUAAUAAAUAUAUGUAUUAUGUUUAUAUAUUAAAAAGCAAAAAAGAUUUUAGAUUCUAUAUUGGUUUUACAAAUAAUUUAAAAGAAAGAUUUGUAAAACACAAUAGUGGGCAAUCAACAUAUACUAGAAAAUUUAUGCCAUGGGUAUUGGUAUAUUAUGAGGCAUAUUUUUCUAAAAAUGAUGCGGUAUUAAGAGAAAAACAACUAAAACGACAUGCGAAAGCAUGGGGACAGUUAAAAAAUAGAAUCAAAAAAUCAAUAAAUGAAAGCUAAAAGGUGAGGGAUGACGGUACCUUACGAAUAAGGACCUCCUAAUUUCGUGCCAGCAGGAGCGGUAAUACGAAAGGUCCAAGCGUUAUCCGGUUUUAUUGGGCGUAAAGCGUCCGUAGGCGUCUUGAUAAGUUUUUUGUUAAAUACCAGCGCCCAACGCUGGUUCAGCAAAAAAAACUAUCAUGAUAGAGGGUGGGAAAGGCGAGUGGAAUGGCUGGUGUAGGAGUCAAAUCCGUUAAUAUCAGCUGGAACACCGAAGGCGAAAGCAGCUCGCUGGAACACUCCUGACGCUCAAGGACGAAAGCUAGGGGAGAGAAAGGGAUUAGAUACCCCUGUAUUCCUAGCCGUAAACGAUGGAUACUUGACAUUGGUAGUCUCGACCCUAUCAGUGUCGCUCUAAGCAAGCUAACGCCUUAAGUAUCCCGCCUGGGGAGUACGAGCGCAAGCUUAAAACUCAAAGGAAUAGACGGGGAGCUGCACAAGCGGUGGAGCAUGUGGUUUAAUUCGAUGAUAAGCGGGGAACCUUACUAGGGCUUGACAUCCUGCCUAUGUUUGACCUUAAUCGGACAAACUUAGUGGCAGUGACAGGUGCUGCAUGGUUGUCGUCAGCAUGUGCCGUGAGGUGCACAGUUAAUUCUGGUAACAUGCGCAACCCUCAUCUUGAGUUAAUUUUUCUCAAGAAACUGCUUUGGAUAACAAAGAGGAAGGUGGGGAUGACGUCAAAUCAGCAUGGUCCUUACGCCCUAGGCUACACACGUGCUACAAUGGCCACUACAAUGGGUUUGCCAAGUCGUAAGACGGAGCUAAUCCCAUCAAAGGUGGUCCCAGUUCGGAUUGAGGGCUGCAACUCGCCCUCAUGAAGUUGGAAUCGCUAGUAACCGCGGAUCAGCCUCGCCGCGGUGAAUACGUUCUCAGCUCUUGUACUCACCGCCCGUCACAUUAAGGGAGCCGGCAGUACCCGAAUGCCCCUGUUCAGGGGCAAAAGGUAAGGUUGGUAACAAGAAUGAAGUCGUUGAUUCAUACUGAAUGUUGCGACCUUA